UUCACUGUAUAUUUUUAGCCAUUUUUCUUCCCGUAUUGUCUCCCUGUGGCAAUUGCCUAUUAAUGCUGGUCUGCACCAAGAUUGGACUAAAUGGUGCAUUCUCAGGAGUGAUGAAAACCCCGGAGAUCAAGUGUCAGAGAAGUGUGACUCAAGACACAUCAUUAGUCCUGCAGCGCCCCCUGCUGAUAAGAAUCAUGAAAGUGACGCAAUUCUUAUAGCAGCCUCAGUCCCUCAUCCCAAGAACCUCAUAUUCUACCUACCACAUGAGGCAACCGAAGGGAAAAGACCAGCUCCCUCUCUGGAUCGGCGGCUUGGGCUUGGAGUCGUUUGUCCUUGAGAAAGUUCCUCAACCUCCUGAGGCUUGUGUUCUGAAGCUUAAAUGGAAAUUGUCAUCAGCGCUAUUGAGAGAAUGAAAUCGGAAUGUGUAUGAAAAAGACUUUAUAAAUCAGAACAUUACAUAAAUGGUUAUUUUUCUGCCUGAGAGAGGUAUUUACAAUGUGUUUUUUCUCUUAUAAAAGGAAUGUGAAUUCUUUGUGGACAUUUUGAAAAAUACAUUUAAAUAAAAAAUAAAUAAGAAUCACUCAGAGUUAACUGAUAUGCACAUUUGG
Long non-coding RNA from Lontra canadensis (Northern American river otter), 608 nucleotides. RefSeq lists it as uncharacterized. The record is from RefSeq and is a predicted model, not a curated record. NCBI's taxonomy places the organism in Eukaryota, Metazoa, Chordata, Mammalia, Carnivora, Mustelidae. The transcript has 3 exons.